GACUACGGGUGCCUGCAGGGGGGGAUAUUGCACGAUUGGGGAAACUCUGAUGCAGCAACGCCGCGUGAGGUAAGAAGUUCUUCGGAUUGUAAACCUCUAUCCUCAGGGACGAUAAUGACGGUACCUGUGGAGUAAGCUCCGGCUAACUACGUCCCAGCAGCCGCGGUAAUACGUAGGGAGCAAGCGUUGUCCGGAUUUACUGGGUGUAAAGGGUGCGUAGGCGGCCCUGCAAGUCAGGUGUGAAAACUAUGGGCUUAACUCAUAGAUUGCACUUGAAACUGUGGGGCUUGAGUGAAGUAGAGGCAGGCGGAAUUCCCGGUGUAGCGGUGAAAUGCGUAGAGAUCGGGAAGAACACCAGUGGCGAAGGCGGCCGGCUGGGCUUUAACUGACGCUGAGGCACGAAAGCGUGGGUAGCAAACAGGAUUAGAUACCCUUGUAGUC
Molecule: ribosomal RNA, 441 nt
Filed under: uncultured bacterium
Lineage: Bacteria
Description: bacterial SSU rRNA
Rfam family: Bacterial small subunit ribosomal RNA
Source: RNAcentral